AUCGCUUCUCGGCCUUUUGGCUAAGAUCAAGUGUAAAAAAAAAAAACAUUCUAACCACUUGUGUUUCAUCAGUUUGUUAGAUAAUUAAUUGAUUAAAGCAAGCAAAUCAUGAGGUGACAUUUUUGCAAUUAUUUUUCUAAAAGGGUAU
RNAcentral lists this small nuclear RNA (148 nucleotides) under Mus musculus (house mouse). Its description in RNAcentral is "U2 spliceosomal RNA". It matches the Rfam family "U2 spliceosomal RNA". Rfam says of the family: U2 is a small nuclear RNA (snRNA) component of the spliceosome (involved in pre-mRNA splicing). Complementary binding between U2 snRNA (in an area lying towards the 5' end but 3' to hairpin I) and the branchpoint sequence (BPS) of the intron results the bulging out of an unpaired adenosine, on the BPS, which initiates a nucleophilic attack at the intronic 5' splice site, thus starting the first of two transesterification reactions that mediate splicing. Lineage: Eukaryota; Metazoa; Chordata; Mammalia; Rodentia; Muridae. The record is from Rfam by way of RNAcentral.